This 492-nucleotide ribosomal RNA is filed under the name uncultured bacterium. RNAcentral describes it as "partial 16S ribosomal RNA". It matches the Rfam family "Bacterial small subunit ribosomal RNA", at positions 29 to 507 of the family's 1533-position model. The record is from RNAcentral.
AGUGAACGCUGGCGGUAGGCCUAACACAUGCAAGUCGAACGGCAGCACAGUAAGAGCUUGCUCUUACGGGUGGCGAGUGGCGGACGGGUGAGGAAUACAUCGGAAUCUACUUUUUCGUGGGGGAUAACGUAGGGAAACUUACGCUAAUACCGCAUACGACCUACGGGUGAAAGCAGGGGAUCUUCGGACCUUGCGCGAUUGAAUGAGCCGAUGUCGGAUUAGCUAGUUGGUAUGGUAAAGGCCCACCAAGGCGACGAUCCGUAGCUGGUCUGAGAGGAUGAGAGGCGAACAUGGAACUGAGACACGGGCGAGGCUACUAAGGGAGGCAGCAGUAGGGAAUGUUGCACAAUGGGCGAGAGCCUGAAGGAGCAACGCCGCGUGAGUGAUGAAGGUCUUAGGAUCUUAAAACUCUGUUAUUAAAGAAGAAAAUAUGUGUAAGUAACUGUGCACAUCUUGACGGUACCUAAUCAGAAAGCCACGGCUAACUACGUG